Molecule: long non-coding RNA, 2345 nt
Organism: Onychostoma macrolepis
Lineage: Eukaryota; Metazoa; Chordata; Actinopteri; Cypriniformes; Cyprinidae
Exons: 6
Source: RefSeq, a predicted model, not a curated record
CAGUCGAUUAUUGGCGCGAAAACAGUGCUAGAGCAGGUGCCAGAGAUAGUGUCGGUCAAAAUUUCAUUUUAAAGUUUCAGAUUUGGGGAACUGUUCUUACACUUCCGUGGUAAAUUAGUUUUUGUUAAAUGUAACAAACUGUAACUUUAACUUAGUUGCUGUCUGGCUUUUUUGGCAAAUGAAUGUCGGAGCCGUCAUAUUCAACAUUUUCAGCACACCGUCACAUCUUACUCGACGAUCGACGUGGAGAUUAAGAUAAGACUAGGUGAAGAUCUGACAUCGCAGAAUUCUUCAAGGAUAACCCAGGAAACACAGAACGUUGUGACGACGUCGCCAGUUCGUCGUCCUUUGGUCAGCGCGACAUUACUUUAUGGCGACGUUGUGAGGACGUCGUGGUAAAGUUCCAUUUUUUAGAAUCUUGACUAACGUUCCAGAAACGUCGUGGGCACGUCCUCAAAAGACGUCGCUUGUUAGUCCCGUGAAGAACGUUGUAGCGACGUGGUCAGCUGGUCUCAUGAUAACCUUUCAUAUUAUUGCACUACAUGUAUUAUCAUGUUAAGAUAACAUUUGGAUAGCCUAUAUUUUGGAAAAUAUACUGAAUUAAUCAAGCAUUUUAAAAGAUGGCAUGAAUUAUUAUAUUUGUAGAUGUAUGUGUCAUCAAAUUAAGGACAAAACAAAAACCAAAUAGUUUGCUUAGCAAAUGGUGAUCAUUGUUAAUUACAUGUUUGUGAAUGACUGAGAAUGAGAUUUAGUGAAAGAGGGCACGGGACAAAUUAACAUUUAAACCAGCAGCGCGUCACUGUCUGAGUACUGCGCGAGAGUGCGCGUGCCCGUCAUUAACGGUCAACUUCCAGCAGACGGACACGGAGGAAAAGGUAAGCCUAUAAAUCUACUUGUAUUCAUCGUUUUUACUGAUUUAUAACGUUAGAUGUCACCAAAGAUGAGUAGUGUUUUGUAUUUUUGUAGGUUUUCCAAUUUAAUUUAAUAAAUAAAUGCCCUGUUCCGUUAAUUAGCUCACGAGCAGUCUCAUGAGGCGGUCUGAGGUAACGUUAACCGUUAAAAUCUUGAGAUACAAUUUUAUACCUUUCUUUUAGUUAUUUGAAAUUUAACACGAUAAACUAUACAGUAUUCACUUUCAAAUUCUUUAAACUUUAACCGUAGUAAAGUUAAUUAGUUUGUUUGACUGUCGCUAGUCGAUGAUACUAAUGCUAGCCAUACUGUAAACUUGAAUAUAAACCGCUGUAUGAAGUUUAAUUAGACCGAGGCUGCAGAAAUCAUGUUCAGUGUCUGGGAUUAAUAAUUUCCGCCUUUCCCCCUCAAGUGACAGGCCUGUAAAUUGUGUCAUCUGCUCGUUAAUGGUGUUUUUUACAUGCAUGCUUUUUAUGCUAGUUUCAUUCUCAAAUAGAUCUGAUACUUUAGUUUCAACAAAUCUUUAAUAAACAAAUGGUUCACUUUUUUUAGGUCCUGACUGCCACCAGUUGAGUCAAUGAUUCAGUGGAGAGACAAUCUGGGCAGCAGCAACAAGACAACUAUUACGAGUAGAGAUGGGUUUCAAGAUCCAGGUGCAAGGUGCAAUAAGAUGCAAGGAUCCAGGAUCAAGAGAUCAUUCAUCAUGAAGACUGUUCAAUAGCAAGCAGCGAAUCCUGGAUCAUCCUGACCAUUCUGUUGUCCUGGAUUUGAAGACAUGCUGGAACUGUAUUUCUCAUGGUUGAAAGAUUUUUGCAGCGGUAUCCAGACAUAUAAGCACCCUUCCUGGAUCCACACGACUAAAGGCUCUGGAGGAGAGACAGAUUCAAGGGAAAGAUGAAAAUAAGAAGACCGCAGCGAGGGAAGGAAGUAAUCAUCACAAUCUGCCGGAGAAGGAUAUUGACAGUGCAGGCUCAGGACGGCGAAGAGGAGGAAGAACACCUUUAACAUAAUUUUCUCAUACCUUUGUCAUGUGUUAUAAUAAAAACAAUAAACCUGACUACAAUAAUAUGGUAAAUUUUAUUAAAAGAUUCCAGUUUGCAAGGAAUCUGGAGUCUCUGACUCUGCACUAAAGGAACUCUUUGCUGAGGAAGACCAAGUGCUGAGGAGGAGCCUUGUUCUACAGCAAAACACUGCAUCAACCCUCCAUGACAAGAUGAAGAGUGAAGAGUCUCCCUCCUGUCCUUCCUUCAGAAGAGCCUGUCUUCUGCUGCUGGGGUAAGAACGACACUCUUCCUCUUCUCUCACAGCCGUCCAGCACCUAACUCUGCCUCCUCAGCACUGUCUGAAAGAGUCUUCUCCACAGUCAGUAAUCAGAGAUCACACAUUCUCCAGAGAAAGUCAACACGCUCAUUUUCCUAAACAAAACUGUUUAUGUU